Long non-coding RNA from Bos taurus (domestic cattle), 721 nucleotides. NCBI's taxonomy places the organism in Eukaryota, Metazoa, Chordata, Mammalia, Artiodactyla, Bovidae. The record is from Ensembl.
GGGGAGGCCCCUUAACAGGGUUUUGGGGAAAGGAGUGAGAAUGAGAUUACUCAGUAGAGGACGGACUUGGGAAGGAGGAGGCACAGGAGAAGGCUAUGAUCAGAGGGCAGGAGAUGGCAGUACCAGUAAGAAGGCGGCUAUAGUAACCCAGUAUCUGCCUUUAUUGUAUUCCAAGAAGAGGAGGCUAGCUCCAGAUGCCCCCCAUCCCAGGCCUCAAGGAGGGGUUCUCAGGAAGGACCCAAAGUGCUGGCGGAGAACAGCAAUUCCUCAGGAGCCUAUACUGAGGCCCAGAGCUGCAGGCCCAGGAUGGAGAGCUAAUGGUUGGGGGCCAGGGUCCUAAUUCCCAGGCACAAAGACACUCCUCCAACCCACAAGUGGAUGGGCUGGAUUCUUCCUAGAACUCCCGCGUGUACUCCCUCUGGAGAAGAGGCCCAGCCCUGUGUCUCUGGUCAAGAGAGGAUGUGGAAUUCACAGUGAUGACUCCCUCUCCCUUCAGUCCGGAGCAUGAGGUCCCACAAGGUCAUCACCUUCCCUCUGGCCACAGCUGCUGAUGCAACCUUCAUGCAGCUCUCACCUCACAGCAGAGGGUCUGGGAGAAGGAGGGGAAGGGUGUACUAGGUGAGGCGGUGAGUGGGGACAGAGAAGUCAGAGGGUCUGCUCCUCCCCAAGGAGUGGUAGGUAGGGUGGGGGUCAGACUAAGGAAGCCCUCGGCCCAGGGGAC